RNA transcript from Ylistrum balloti, 1400 nucleotides. It is a transcript of the gene named acyl-coenzyme A thioesterase 13-like, with no coding region annotated. The transcript has 4 exons. The record is from RefSeq and is a predicted model, not a curated record. NCBI's taxonomy places the organism in Eukaryota, Metazoa, Mollusca, Bivalvia, Pectinida, Pectinidae.
AUGAGUGGGAACGGACUUCGCUUUCUCAAACAAGUCGUGGAAGCAGGGACGAAAUGUAAAGGAUUUGAAUCUAUAUUGGACAAGGUCAAAGUUGUUUCUGGUGGAAAUGGAAAGUUGGUGUGUGAGAUGACGGUUACAGAGGACCAUCAAAAUCGUUUAGGCACCCUACACGGAGGAAUGACAGCUGCACUUGUGGACGCAGUGUCCACCUGGGCCCUGUUGACCACCGAGCGACAGGUAGCAGGUGUUAGUGUGGACAUGAGUAUUUCGUACAUGAAGGCAGCUAAAGUUGGGGAGGACAUUCUGAUUGAGGCAAAUUCCACCAAAGUUGGAAAGACCUUAGCCUUCUUGAAUGUGGAUAUAAGAAAGAAGAGUGAUGGAGCUUUACUAGCACAAGGCAAACAUACCAAGUUUGUAGGCAGCUAGUACAUGCCUCCGGGACUAAUGCAGACAUGAACAUUAUUGGGAAGAAGUUGGAUAAUCUCAAACACUGACCAGCUGACCGAGCAGUUUGAUGCCCCCUUCAAUACGGUCCUGAAAGGCGCGAUGUCCUGUCCACAUCUCGUACAUCAUGAUUCCCACCGAGUACAUGUCAUGCUGAAUGGUAUACACAGUUUUGUCUGGUUGGUUCAUCAGUCGUCCGUCAAAGUGGACAUAUUUGAGUACAGGAGACCCAUCUGGUGGAAACAAUGUGACUGGUAGCUUCCUAGGCAUUGUUAGGUUAACAAGCUUCACCUUACGAUGUACAUCUACCUGUAAGACAUGUUACCUAAGAAAUGAUUAUUGUAUGUCUUACUAUGUUACGCAUGGUUUGUUCUAUGUAUAUUAUAAACUUUUUUUUAUCAUUUCCCCUUUAUAUAUGGUUGUUUGUAUGUAUAUAUGGUUGUUUGUAUGUAUAUAUGGUUGUUUGUAUGUAUAUAUGGUUGUUUGUAUGUGUAUAUGGUUGUUUGUAUGUGUAUAUGGUUGUUUGUAUGUGUAUAUGGUUGUUUGUAUGUGUAUAUGGUUGUUUGUAUGUAUAUAUGGUUGUUUGUAUGUAUAUAUGGUUGUUUGUAUGUGUAUAUGGUUGUUUGUAUGUGUAUAUGGUUGUUUGUAUGUAUAUAUGGUUGUUUGUAUGUGUAUAUGGUUGUUUGUAUGUAUAUAUGGUUGUUCGUAUGUGUAUAUGGUUGUUUGUAUGUAUAUAUGGUUGUUUGUAUGUAUAUAUGGUUGUUUGUAUGUGUAUAUGGUUGUAUGUAUGUAUAUAUGGUUGUUGGUAUGUGUAUAUGGUUGUUUGUAUGUGUAUAUGGUUGUUUAUAUGUGUAUAUGGUUGUUUGUAUGUGUAUAUAUGGUUGUUGGUAUGUAUAUAUGGUUGUUUGUAUGUGUAUAUGGUUGUUGAUAUGUGUAUAUGGUUGUUUGUAUGUAUA